RNAcentral lists this ribosomal RNA (1023 nucleotides) under Staphylococcus warneri. Its description in RNAcentral is "bacterial SSU rRNA". It matches the Rfam family "Bacterial small subunit ribosomal RNA", at positions 40 to 1042 of the family's 1533-position model. Lineage: Bacteria; Bacillati; Bacillota; Bacilli; Caryophanales; Staphylococcaceae. The record is from RNAcentral.
CGGCGUGCCUAUACAUGCAAGUCGAGCGAACAGAUAAGGAGCUUGCUCCUUUGACGUUAGCGGCGGACGGGUGAGUAACACGUGGAUAACCUACCUAUAAGACUGGGAUAACUUCGGGAAACCGGAGCUAAUACCGGAUAACAUAUUGAACCGCAUGGUUCAAUAGUGAAAGGCGGCUUUGCUGUCACUUAUAGAUGGAUCCGCGCCGUAUUAGCUAGUUGGUAAGGUAACGGCUUACCAAGGCAACGAUACGUAGCCGACCUGAGAGGGUGAUCGGCCACACUGGAACUGAGACACGGUCCAGACUCCUACGGGAGGCAGCAGUAGGGAAUCUUCCGCAAUGGGCGAAAGCCUGACGGAGCAACGCCGCGUGAGUGAUGAAGGUCUUCGGAUCGUAAAACUCUGUUAUCAGGGAAGAACAAAUGUGUAAGUAACUGUGCACAUCUUGACGGUACCUGAUCAGAAAGCCACGGCUAACUACGUGCCAGCAGCCGCGGUAAUACGUAGGUGGCAAGCGUUAUCCGGAAUUAUUGGGCGUAAAGCGCGCGUAGGCGGUUUUUUAAGUCUGAUGUGAAAGCCCACGGCUCAACCGUGGAGGGUCAUUGGAAACUGGAAAACUUGAGUGCAGAAGAGGAAAGUGGAAUUCCAUGUGUAGCGGUGAAAUGCGCAGAGAUAUGGAGGAACACCAGUGGCGAAGGCGACUUUCUGGUCUGUAACUGACGCUGAUGUGCGAAAGCGUGGGGAUCAAACAGGAUUAGAUACCCUGGUAGUCCACGCCGUAAACGAUGAGUGCUAAGUGUUAGGGGGUUUCCGCCCCUUAGUGCUGCAGCUAACGCAUUAAGCACUCCGCCUGGGGAGUACGACCGCAAGGUUGAAACUCAAAGGAAUUGACGGGGACCCGCACAAGCGGUGGAGCAUGUGGUUUAAUUCGAAGCAACGCGAAGAACCCUUACCAAAUCUUGACAUCCUUUGACCGCUCUAGAGAUAGAGUUUUCCCCUUCGGGGGACAAAGUGACAGGUGGU